GACAGCUACAGCACUGGCGUCGGGGGGCGUGGGAUGAGCCGCUGUAGGCAGGAGGGGAGUGGUCAGUAUGAAGUGGCGGGUCCCGAAUAGGUCUUUAAGACGAGCCCAGCGCGGGAAGUACCCUCUGGGGGAGGCUGGUGGGCUGAGAAAGGACAAGUAAAAAAUGGAAUUAGGGGCCUGACUCCGUGGCAAAGCUACGGGGAGAAACGGAUGAUCUUGUUGGGGGAAGAAAUUGGGGCUAGAGAGUGGGAGAGAUUGGAUGACUUGUGGACCAGACGGGAUAGGUGCUGUGUGGUGUGUGUGAGUGUAGGGGGUGGGGGUGGUGAGGAGUACUCUGGGGUCUGGGGAGGUGCAGUGGGGUCAGGAGACUGUGGGGUGAGAAUGAAGACCGCUGAAUGGGAAGGGGGAACAGAGACAUUUGGGAUCAAGCCAUUCCAGACCAGAGCCAUCUUCCUGUCCCAGCUCUGAACCCCAUCUCUCCGGCCUCAUUUCUUUGACCCGGGUCAGAGCUUUGCUCAUGGUUUCCGCUUUCAUGGUGCAGCGGAGUUCACACUAGCCAGUGUUCUGGUAGGUGGAAAGGUAGCACUGCCCCAUCACUCCUGGGCCUCCCCCAUCUUUGCUGAGUUUCCCCUUUCACAUUUUGUCCUUCAUAGGUAGUUGGAGUCUAGUUCCUAGGUCAAUACUAGCUAUAGCUCAGGGCACAGGGGAGCAGGUGGCUGUGCAAAGCCACUUUCAGGCUGUGGACACAGGGCUGAGAAAUGGAAACCCACCAGUGCCCAUUCCAGCUAUGACUUGGCUGAGGCAGCCUUGGGUCAAGGCCUCUCUGUAGUCCUGGUUUCCACCAACAUCAGGAAGGGGAGCUGCAAGAGCCAUCUAGGCAGGCACCCCAGGACUGUGCCAGUGAAUGUGAGGGUGGACUUGCUCUAAGGAAAAGCUGUUUGCUUGCCAACACUGGCCACUGGUGACAAAGGAAACGCCAGAUGCCAAGCCAGCCUGGCAGAGAAGCACCACUCAGCCAGGAUACCUGGCAAGGAGGACACACCUGCUCCUCAGUCUUAAAUGCUUUUUGCUUCACCUUCACCACAAAGGCACAACAGCCCAGGUAUUGAUCUACAGCAUAUGAAUUUACACCUUUAACAGGACAAGAGGCAAAUCUGAGAAGACUUCCAGUGAGGCACUAGUCAAGAGCUGAAAUAUUCCCUGCCUGCUGUCUCUUACUCUAUGCUCACACUCUGUGAGAGGCCACUUUGUGAUUCCAUGGAGUCCCAUUGGAGAGGUAACAAAUACCCCAUGAAGGAGCUCUAGAAAGAGGACAUUGAUUUGGAAGUGAACAGACUAGUGCCUGCUGGUUCCUGGGCCACUUGUACCCCAUGGCUGAGAUGACAGAGGCCACCUAACAGCCUAAGUCACAGCACAGAGACAAAGUGGAAUUUCAGAGCCCUCAGCAUCAAAAACAAGUCACCUAAGCUAAACCUCUGCGUGGUAUGUGGUAGGGCUUCUGGGUAGGUGCAGCCCAUGAUUCUGAUGUUGAAACAAAUUGUAGUUACGGGAAUAAGAUGUCCAAAGGAAGGACUCAGACAGUUGGGUGUCUGCAAGCAGGCUACUCCUGUGAUACCAACAGCCUUGACAUCUCAGUGCUGCUAACAGGGGUAAACUGAGAAGCAUCCGAACUGGGCACUUAGCCCUCUCAUACUUCCUUGCGCCUGAGCAGAGCUCAUCUACCAAGAGCACAUCUCCCAAGAGCACACCUGCCUGAAGCCCAGCCUGAGAUGCGCCAUGAACCUCUCUGCCAGUGGCAGCCCCUGAGCCAUCUGGAAAGAGCGCUUCCUAGACUUAGAGUGGAAGUCAUGGCUUCCCCCAAGAUGCAGGUGCUGACUGUGAGCUGGCUCCCAGGCUCCCCUUUCAGCUGUCCAUUCUGGAAACCUGUCAACUGGAACACACCUCCCAAUACCCAACGGAGUAUCUCCUCAAGGGCACUCUCUAAUGCCUUUCUUAUUUAGGCUGCGCUGGUGAUGUCCUAUAUUUUUACCCUCUUCUACCCAGCUCCAUAGAUACCUGGCAGAAAAGUUAGCCUCUACCCUGAGGUCUCUAGCCAGAAAAGAUCUGCUGAUGAUUGAGGAAGAACUUCUUAAGAGUAAGAGAUUUUCAGCCUUGUUUCUGAAAUAAAAAGAUCUAAGUGUUGGCUUUAUGAAAGAAGAAAUAAAGAGAAACCCUUUUCUCCCCUCCUUCAACUGGUCUAGAAGUCACACAAGGAGUCGCAUGUGUCUAGAAGUCACACAAGGAUCCAAAUCAAAAGCAAAGCAAAUACAAACAAGCAAAACCAUCAACAUAUGCAUUCCAUGAAGUGCAUUUCUUAGUCCAGCUUGUACUGGUUUGGUCCAGCACGAAGGCCAAGUACUCCUGGUUUAGAACUUGCAGGAAAGUUCACAAAUCCAAGUAAGCUGCCCAAAGGGAUACUCCAGAUGGAUCACUACCAAUACAUUCAUAAGAAAGCACUGGAGCUUCUCCAAAUAGAAUUUACUUCCAAGUUUGCAGUCCACGAAGGUUUCACGUAAUCAUUUGGUCCACAUCAUCCUUUAAACUCAGGAGCAUUCACACCGUUACAUCUCUACACUUUCUAAUAUUCUACACAACCUUUAAAGGAGUGUUUCUCUGCAUCUUUCAUUCUGUGGACAUUGCCCACCCCCUCCAAAAUAAUUCCUACGUUUUUCAAUCUUUGGAAGUUUCUCUCCUCUGAGAGGCCUCCAGAGGUCCAACUUUAAUAGAAUCUGAGGAAAAAAGCUGGCCAGUCUAUGUGCUAUCAACAGUGAUGCCAAACUCUGACUUCUGGAGCCAGUUCUCCCUGCUGGGCAGUCAGGAAACAAGUAAGUGAGCAAGAAGUAACCUCAGAAGAAACAAACUUCAGGAGAAUGUGCACUGAGAAAAGCCAGACUGCGUCCCUCUGGAUCAAGUUAAUUAAGAAACAAUUAAACAUGACAGUAUAUUGGAACCAAAACCAAAGAAUACCGUGAGGGCAGGUUUCUCCAUAGCCCAGAGAAGACACAGUUCCUUUUCAACUAAAAAUAGCCACCAGAACAUAAGCCAAGAAGCACGGGUAAGAGCUGAGAACCAUAAAUCAGCAAUGGGUAAGGACGUGGGGUGGAGGAGGAAAGUUAAGUAUCCACUUUAUUUCUUACGUCAUUCCUUAGAUUUGUGUCUGGCCCUUGGGAUUCAACAGUUCCCCGCACCCUGCGACGGGACAUCAGGCAACAGGCUAGGAGUUUGGCCAACAAGUUCUUACACGCCUCACAAUUAUGCUAAGAGCUUGCAGAUAUCUAGCUGGAGGCUCAAGGACCCAAGUGAAAACAUUAGAAGGUUUUUUGUCCACUCCGCAGCCUAAGGCGAGAGGUCAUCUGCCCAGGGAGUGCCCUCGCGUCCUGGCACUCUCGAUUGGGGUAACACUGGUAACCAGGUUGGCUUCUACACCCAGCAGUGCCCGUGUGGUUGGCGCCAUCUGAAUUUAAAGCAUUCUCUGGCCCUCUGGGUACUUGGGAGAGCCCUGAAUCGUUCAUGGGCACCUAGAACGGGAGUGCAGGAGGAUUCCUCAAACGCAUGGCAAGCGCGAGGGGCGUCGGCCGCCUUCUCAGAGCAGGCCCAUGCAAUGGCCACGGAAAGAGCAGCGCUGAGAUGGAUCGGCGACCGGGCGGAAAGGUGCCAGGCUCGCCCCGGGUGCCCACUCCUCCUGGCAGCCCCCGGAAGCGCCGCCCUCCGGUCCUGUGGGCUCCGAGGGGGCGGGGAGUCUAACGCCCCCUUCCGGGUGCCUCCGCCCGGCUGGCCAGCCCCGCUCCUCCUCCGGGCGGGAAUCCUCCCUCCCCCGCCCCUCCCGGAGCCGGGCCCCGGCGCCAGGCCCGGCCCCAGGGGGGAACCCCCGGCUUCGGCUCCCCCUCCCUGCGGCCUCUGCCCGUCUUCCUGACCCUUGGGGGCCGGGAAGACCCCACCGGCAGCGGCCAGG
Long non-coding RNA from Manis pentadactyla (Chinese pangolin), 3991 nucleotides. RefSeq lists it as uncharacterized. The transcript has 5 exons. The record is from RefSeq and is a predicted model, not a curated record. NCBI's taxonomy places the organism in Eukaryota, Metazoa, Chordata, Mammalia, Pholidota, Manidae.